RNAcentral lists this ribosomal RNA (1505 nucleotides) under Salmonella enterica subsp. enterica. RNAcentral describes it as "partial 23S ribosomal RNA". It matches the Rfam family "Bacterial large subunit ribosomal RNA", at positions 1314 to 2802 of the family's 2925-position model. Lineage: Bacteria; Pseudomonadati; Pseudomonadota; Gammaproteobacteria; Enterobacterales; Enterobacteriaceae. RNAcentral also lists the same sequence under 1 other name. The record is from RNAcentral.
AAAGCGGGUGAAAAGCCCGCUCGCCGGAAGACCAAGGGUUCCUGUCCAACGUUAAUCGGGGCAGGGUGAGUCGACCCCUAAGGCGAGGCCGAAAGGCGUAGUCGAUGGGAAACGGGUUAAUAUUCCCGUACUUGGUGUUACUGCGAAGGGGGGACGGAGAAGGCUAUGUUGGCCGGGCGACGGUUGUCCCGGUUUAAGCGUGUAGGUGUGUGUUCCAGGUAAAUCCGGUUCACUUUAACACUGAGGCGUGACGACGAGGCACUACGGUGCUGAAGCAACAAAUGCCCUGCUUCCAGGAAAAGCCUCUAAGCAUCAGGUAACAUCAAAUCGUACCCCAAACCGACACAGGUGGUCAGGUAGAGAAUACCAAGGCGCUUGAGAGAACUCGGGUGAAGGAACUAGGCAAAAUGGUGCCGUAACUUCGGGAGAAGGCACGCUGACACGUAGGUGAAGUGAUUUACUCAUGGAGCUGAAGUCAGUCGAAGAUACCAGCUGGCUGCAACUGUUUAUUAAAAACACAGCACUGUGCAAACACGAAAGUGGACGUAUACGGUGUGACGCCUGCCCGGUGCCGGAAGGUUAAUUGAUGGGGUCAGCGCAAGCGAAGCUCCUGAUCGAAGCCCCGGUAAACGGCGGCCGUAACUAUAACGGUCCUAAGGUAGCGAAAUUCCUUGUCGGGUAAGUUCCGACCUGCACGAAUGGCGUAAUGAUGGCCAGGCUGUCUCCACCCGAGACUCAGUGAAAUUGAACUCGCUGUGAAGAUGCAGUGUACCCGCGGCAAGACGGAAAGACCCCGUGAACCUUUACUAUAGCUUGACACUGAACAUUGAGCCUUGAUGUGUAGGAUAGGUGGGAGGCUUUGAAGUGUGGACGCCAGUCUGCAUGGAGCCGACCUUGAAAUACCACCCUUUAAUGUUUGAUGUUCUAACGUGGACCCGUUACCCGGGUUGCGGACAGUGUCUGGUGGGUAGUUUGACUGGGGCGGUCUCCUCCUAAAGAGUAACGGAGGAGCACGAAGGUUGGCUAAUCCUGGUCGGACAUCAGGAGGUUAGUGCAAUGGCAUAAGCCAGCUUGACUGCGAGCGUGACGGCGCGAGCAGGUGCGAAAGCAGGUCAUAGUGAUCCGGUGGUUCUGAAUGGAAGGGCCAUCGCUCAACGGAUAAAAGGUACUCCGGGGAUAACAGGCUGAUACCGCCCAAGAGUUCAUAUCGACGGCGGUGUUUGGCACCUCGAUGUCGGCUCAUCACAUCCUGGGGCUGAAGUAGGUCCCAAGGGUAUGGCUGUUCGCCAUUUAAAGUGGUACGCGAGCUGGGUUUAGAACGUCGUGAGACAGUUCGGUCCCUAUCUGCCGUGGGCGCUGGAGAACUGAGGGGGGCUGCUCCUAGUACGAGAGGACCGGAGUGGACGCAUCACUGGUGUUCGGGUUGUCAUGCCAAUGGCACUGCCCGGUAGCUAAAUGCGGAAGAGAUAAGUGCUGAAAGCAUCUAAGCACGAAACUUGCCCCGA